AUUGAACGCUGGCGGCAGGCCUAACACAUGCAAGUCGAGCGAAUGAAGGGAGCUUGCUCCUGGAUUCAUCGGUGGACGGGUGAGUAAUGCCUAUAAAUCUGCCUGGUAGUGGGGGAUAACGUCCGGAAACGGGCUCUUAUACCGCAUCCGUCCUGAGUGCGAAAUUGGGUGAUCUUCGGAUCUCACGCUAUCAUAUUAGCCUAGGUCGGUUUAGCUAGUUGGUGGGGUAAAGGGCUUACAAGGCGACGAUCCGUAACUGGUCUUAGGGGAUGAUCAGUCACACUGGAAAUGAGAAACGGCACAGACACCUGAGGGAGGCAGCAGUGGGGAAUAUUGGGCAAGGGGCGAAUGCCGGAUCCAGCCAUGCCGCGUGAGUGAUGAAGGACUUAGGAUUGUAAAGCAAUUUAGGUCGGGAGGAAGGGCAGUAAGUUAACACCGGGCGGUAUUGACGUUACCAACAGAAUAAGCUCCGGCUAACUUCGUG
This 484-nucleotide ribosomal RNA is filed under the name uncultured bacterium. RNAcentral's name for it is "partial 16S ribosomal RNA". It matches the Rfam family "Bacterial small subunit ribosomal RNA", at positions 30 to 507 of the family's 1533-position model. The record is from RNAcentral.